ACAUGCUUACAUCAUAGAAUUAAUGCACCAGAUCCCAUUAGAACUCCGCAGUUAAGCGUGCUCGGGAUAGAGUAGUACUGGGAUGGGUGCCUGAGAAGUCCCAGUAUUUUACAUGCC
Picea glauca (white spruce) is the source of this 117-nucleotide non-coding RNA. NCBI's taxonomy places the organism in Eukaryota, Viridiplantae, Streptophyta, Pinopsida, Pinales, Pinaceae. The record is from Rfam.